CAUUUAGAGGAAGUAAAAGUCGUAACAAGGUCUCCGUUGGUGAACCAGCGGAGGGAUCAUUG
Molecule: ribosomal RNA, 62 nt
Filed under: Apiognomonia errabunda
Lineage: Eukaryota; Fungi; Ascomycota; Sordariomycetes; Diaporthales; Gnomoniaceae
Description: partial 18S ribosomal RNA
Rfam family: Eukaryotic small subunit ribosomal RNA
Source: RNAcentral